ACCAGACUCCUACGGGAGGCAGCAGUGGGGAAUAUUGGGCAAUGGGCGCAAGCCUGACCCAGCAACGCCGCGUGAAGGAAGAAGGCUUUCGGGUUGUAAACUUCUUUUGUCAGGGACGAAGCAAGUAACGGUACCUGACGAAUAAGCCACGGCUAACUACGUGCCAGCAGCCGCGGUAAUACGUAGGGGGCGAGCGUUAUCCGGAUUCACUGGGUGUAAAGGGAGCGUGGACGGCCGUGCAAGCCAGGAGUGAAAGCCCGGGGCCCAACCCCGGGACUGCUCUUGGAACUGUGCGGCUGGAGUGCGGGAGGGGCAGGCGGAAUUCCUGGUGUAGCGGUGAAAUGCGUAGAUAUCAGGAGGAACACCGGCGGCGAAGGCGGCCUGCUGGACCGCGACUGACGUUGAGGCUCGAAAGCGUGGGGAGCGAACAGGAUUAGAUACCCGAGUA
RNAcentral lists this ribosomal RNA (448 nucleotides) under uncultured bacterium. Its description in RNAcentral is "bacterial SSU rRNA". It matches the Rfam family "Bacterial small subunit ribosomal RNA", at positions 330 to 792 of the family's 1533-position model. The record is from RNAcentral.